Molecule: ribosomal RNA, 459 nt
Filed under: Ameerega trivittata (three-striped poison frog)
Lineage: Eukaryota; Metazoa; Chordata; Amphibia; Anura; Dendrobatidae
Description: partial 16S ribosomal RNA
Rfam family: Bacterial large subunit ribosomal RNA
Source: RNAcentral
NNNNNNNNNNNNNNNNNNCCGUAUGAAUGGCCCCACGAGGGCUGCACUGUCUCCUUUUUCUAAUCAAUGAAACUAAUCUCCCCGUGAAGAAGCGGGAAUUAUCCUAUAAGACGAGAAGACCCUAUGGAGCUUUAAACAACUGAAACAUUUGCUUUUCUCCUAACUCCUCCCGAGCCCUUUAUUUUUAUUUAAGCAUUAUUAUUUCUAGUUUUAGGUUGGGGUGACCACGGAGCAAAACUAAACCUCCAUGAAGAAAUGAAUAUUUUUAAGCCACAAACUACUUUUUUAAGCAUCAACAAAUUGACCUUCAUUGACCCAAUAUAUUGAUCAACGAACCAAGUUACCCUAGGGAUAACAGCGCAAUCUACUUCAAGAGCUCAUAUCGACAAGUAGGUUUACGACCUCGAUGUUGGAUCAGGGUAUCCUAGUGGUGCAGCCGCUACUAAUGGUUCGUUUGUU